GUAGGUGAACCUGCGGAAGGAUCAUUAACACUCGACAAUCAUAAGUCGUUAAAACUUGUACCCAACCCAACAAACUUCCACGAGCUAACCCCGUCCACGGACGUGAUAAAAUCCCCUUUAUAUUUCGGGGGUAUAUUGAGUAUUAUAUUUGACAAUGAUAACGUCAUAUGAUUGAGAAUUGGGAGUCAUAUUAACUAAUCUUUUUAUGAAUUUGAUCGUUUAUUGUAAUGAUACUCGAUCGUUUUUCUGU
This 250-nucleotide unclassified non-coding RNA is filed under the name plant metagenome. Its description in RNAcentral is "partial contains small subunit ribosomal RNA, internal transcribed spacer 1, and 5.8S ribosomal RNA". The record is from RNAcentral.